UUGGAGUUCACUUUACAACGAAGAUAAAGUAUUUUUCUUUCCUUGACGUCCAAUAGCAAAAAUGAGAGUGCUCCAGAAAACAAUAAUUCGAAUAUCUAUCGAUUUAAGUCACCUUGUCACUCAGUUUCCCUUGAAUUUAAUCAGUCAUUUUUCUCUCUUCAUUUCUGUACCUUUCCUUUGCUUUCAUUUUCACUCUUUUUUCUUGGAUUGGGGCUUUCUUUUGUUCUUACUUUUUCUUUUUGCUGAAAGAAAAAUUCCUCCAAAUUUGUUUUUGGGGAGGGUCGACAGUGAAACUGAAAAUUUCAUUGUUCUGACCGAUUCUGUUCAUCUUUUUAGGGUUUAGUGAUUUUUGCUGACGUAGUUUUUAGAGUCUAAUCGUGUCUUUCUGUGAAUUUGAAGCUUGUAAAAUCACUAAGCGAGUUCCCUGUUGGAGAAAGCCAGGGCAGAGAAGAAGAGAGCAAUUGAGGCUCCUCAACCUAAGAGACCCCGCGCCAAUGUUGCAGGAUAUGAUCCACGAGUCACUAACAUAACUGUUGACAAAACAUUCUAUCCUAGAGUCAUUGAUAGGUGGCCGUAAUAUGUAUAUCGGACUUGCCAACAACCACGUCCCCGCUCUUCUUGGUUCAGCCACCUCAAACUUCUCUCUCGGUCAUGGGAACUACUUUGGAAACGACUACCAGUGCCAGGCUCCCAUCUUCACUUAUUUCCAAACAUGGAAAGAAGGUAAUUGUGAUCCUAAAAUUAUAUCUUGUAAAAUUACGGAACGGGUUUAGUUUCUUAAAAUUAUGAUAAAUUAUUAUAAUUUUUA
Molecule: long non-coding RNA, 808 nt
Organism: Gossypium raimondii (Peruvian cotton)
Lineage: Eukaryota; Viridiplantae; Streptophyta; Magnoliopsida; Malvales; Malvaceae
Exons: 2
Source: RefSeq, a predicted model, not a curated record